GCUAUUCCUACAGGAAAAAUAGGCACAACAUACAGAAACACAGCCAGCAUGUAGUCAUGUGAAAAUCUAAAUAUAUGAAAAUGGAGAAUAAUCAUAUGGAAAAGGACUGGCCAGCCCAGCAAAAUUAGCCCAUAAGCUGACCGUUGGAUGCUAAAAGAAGUCUCCAAGAAUCUCAAAAUGUAAUUGUGGAUGUUCAUGCAACU
This is a long non-coding RNA of Rana temporaria (common frog), 203 nucleotides long. RefSeq lists it as uncharacterized. The transcript is spliced from 3 exons. NCBI's taxonomy places the organism in Eukaryota, Metazoa, Chordata, Amphibia, Anura, Ranidae. The record is from RefSeq and is a predicted model, not a curated record.